This 253-nucleotide ribosomal RNA is filed under the name uncultured bacterium. RNAcentral describes it as "partial 16S ribosomal RNA". It matches the Rfam family "Bacterial small subunit ribosomal RNA", at positions 524 to 776 of the family's 1533-position model. The record is from RNAcentral.
UACGGGGGGGGCAAGCGUUGUUCGGAAUUACUGGGCGUAAAGGGCUCGUAGGCGGCCAACUAAGUCAGACGUGAAAUCCCUCGGCUUAACCGGGGAACUGCGUCUGAUACUGGAUGGCUGGAGUUUGGGAGAGGGAUGCGGAAUUCCAGGUGUAGCGGUGAAAUGCGUAGAUAUCUGGAGGAAUACCGGUGGCGAAGGCGGCAUCCUGGACCAUUACUGACGCUGAGGCGCGAAAGCUAGGGGAGCAAACGGG